RNAcentral lists this transfer RNA (85 nucleotides) under Halanaerobium kushneri. RNAcentral describes it as "tRNA_Leu_GAG". It matches the Rfam family "tRNA". From Rfam's summary of the family: Transfer RNA (tRNA) molecules are approximately 80 nucleotides in length. Their secondary structure includes four short double-helical elements and three loops (D, anti-codon, and T loops). Lineage: Bacteria; Bacillati; Bacillota; Clostridia; Halanaerobiales; Halanaerobiaceae. The record is from RNAcentral.
GCCGAAGUGGCGGAACUGGCAGACGCGCAGCGUUGAGGGCGCUGUGGGCAUUUUGCCUGUGAGGGUUCGAAUCCCUCCUUCGGCA